AUGUUUAUUAAUACAAGAUUAGAGUUAGCAAAAUAUAUAUGUGAGAAAGGUGAUAAAUGUGAACUAGAAAAUCCUUUGUAUAAUGAAGUAUUAAGAACAGAACAAUUAGAAUUAAUAGCUAGUUUGUCUAAAUUACAAUAUAAUGUAAUAGGUGCUAAAUUAUUAGCUAUGUUUUAUGAAUUAAAAAAUAAUCAUGAAAAUAAUUUAAUAAAUAAAGAUGUUUUUAUUGAACAAACUACUUGGUUAGUUUUUAUCAUUUCAUCUAUUAUUUCAACAAGUGCAAUUAGUAAUAUUAAAAAUUUAGGACAUGAUAAUUUUAAAAUAAAUUCAGAAUUAUGUUUUUUAGUUUUUUCAUUAAUGGAACAAACUAAUAAAUCUAAUGAAGUAUUUGAAUAUUUAGAAUUUGCAUAUUUAAAUUGUUUAGAACUUUUUAAAAAGGUUUAUAUAAGUGGUAAAAAAAAUAAUAAUUUUUUAAAAGAAAUGAGACAAAUUGCAUUACGUAUAGUUUCUUCUUCUAAUUUUUUAACAAAUAGUAUAAACGAUGCAAGUGCUACUGGUAGUUCCACUCAUUCUAUAAAUAAUUUAAACAAUAAUGUAAAUCUUGUGAAUAGUUUGAAUAAUUUAAACAAUACAGAUAACUCUUUGUCAAUAAAUAUGAUAAAUAAUUUCAAUGCUAGUAAUAAUAAUAGUUCUUCUAAUUUGAAUAGUAAUAACAACACUGUUAAUUUGAAUAACACAUUAAAUAGUACUACCUGUAGUAAUAAUAGUACCAACAACGAUUUAUCUUUUUUAUGUUUAGGGGGAAGUAACAAUAAUAUUAGUAGUAGUCUUACUGCUGAUGGAACAGGGGCAGAUGCAUUAUCUAAUAGUAACCAAAACAGUACAAAUAACAACAAUAAUCGAAAUAGUCGAUCAGGUUUUAGUACACCUUCUUUAAUUACUAAUAAACAUGAUGAAGAGAAUAAUGAUCCGUUAAUCGAUUUAAUUAUAAGUAAAAUUUUAUUUAAUUUAAACAAUAGAAUUGAACAUGAACAGUUAAUAAAAAGAAGUCUAUUUUUAUUUCAUGAUUUAGUUUCUGGUAUGAAUAUUGUUUGUUUAGAAGAUAAAACACCAAAAUUAAUUGUAUUUGCUAGAUUAUUAUUAAAAAAUGGAAAAAUAUUAAAAUUAAUAAAUACAAGAGAUACUAAAUUUUUAGAAAUUUCUAAAUAUUAUAAAUAUAGAACAACUUAUUAUUUAAUAAUAACAAAAUUAUUAUUUAUGGAAAAAGGUAAUACAUCUCUUUCAUUUGAUAAAUAUAUUGCUCCUAUAAAUAAUUUAUUAGAAUGUAUAAAAAGAGAAAUUGAAAUGAAUGGAAAAGAAAUCAUUUUAAAAAAUACAGCAAUCAAAUUAUCACUUAUUGGUGUUUUACGAGAUUUGAGAGGUAUUUGUAUGGCAUGUAAUAAUGUUGAUAAUUAUAUGACUUUUUUAAAUUUUUUAUUAAUAGUUAUCCACUAG
Molecule: long non-coding RNA, 1494 nt
Filed under: Piliocolobus tephrosceles (Ugandan red Colobus)
Lineage: Eukaryota; Metazoa; Chordata; Mammalia; Primates; Cercopithecidae
Description: lncRNA (ENSPTEG00000025702.1)
Source: RNAcentral